RNAcentral lists this non-coding RNA (70 nucleotides) under Ruminococcus sp. The record is from RNAcentral. Lineage: Bacteria; Bacillati; Bacillota; Clostridia; Eubacteriales; Oscillospiraceae.
AGCCGAAACAGUGGAUUUAUUCCGCUGUCCGUUAGGAUUGGUUAUCUAACGCUGAUGAUGGCAGACCAAG